This is a long non-coding RNA of Callithrix jacchus (white-tufted-ear marmoset), 3169 nucleotides long. NCBI's taxonomy places the organism in Eukaryota, Metazoa, Chordata, Mammalia, Primates, Cebidae. The record is from Ensembl.
AAUUUCUGCAGCCAGAAUGUUUCUUAAAAACUUUUCAAGUUGUGUCACUGCUCUGAUCAGAAGGUAACAAUGACCUCUCACCUUGUUUACAUUAAAAGAUCUGGAAGACCCUAUAUGAUCUUAUUCUUAGUAUCUUCUAUGACCUUUAUUUUUUGUCUUCUCUCUUUGGUUUUUUUUUUUUUUUCAAAUCCUCUCCCUAUUCCCACCACUGACCUUCACAUAGGGUCCAUGUCAGUUGUUUUCCUCCUUGUGUUCAUGUGAUCCCGUCAUUUGGCUCUCACUUAUAAGAGAAAACAUGCGGUAUUUGGUUUUUGGUUUCUGUUUUAGUUUGCUAACGAUAAUGGCCUCAGUCUCCAUCAGUGUUCCUAGAAAGGGCAUGAUCUUAUUUUUUUUUUAUGGCUGCAUAGUGUUCUAUGGUGUAUAUGUAUCAUAUUUUCUUUAUCCGGUCUGCUACUGAUGGGCAUUUAGGUUGAUUCCAUGUCUUUGCUAUGGUUAAUAGUGUUGCAGUGAACACACCUGUGCAUGUGCCUGUAUGGUAGAAUGAUUUAUAUUGCUGAGUCAAAUGCUAUUUCUGAUUUAGUUAUUUAGGAAUCACCACACCACUUUCCACAAUAAUUGAACCAAUUUAUGCUCCCACCAGUAGUGUAUAAAAGGGGUCCUUUUUCUCCACAACCUUUUCAUCAUCUGUUAUUUGUUUGACUUUUUCAUAAUAGCCAUUCUGACUGGUGUCAGAUAGUAUCCACUGUGGCUUUGAUUUGCAUUUCUCUAAUAAUCAGUGAUAUUAAACUUUUAAUUAUGUACUUGUUGUUUAUUGCCUGAUUGUGUUGGGGCUACUUGGCCUGGCUUUCUUGAUGUUCUCUUAACCUUAUAAAAUAUUAUAAGGUAUGCCAUGCAAAAUGCCAGAAAUGCAUGAAUGACCACCAGCAGUACUAAAAGUGUUUAAAAGAGCAAUAGCCAGGCCAUUCAUAAUCCCAACUAAAAUCUCCAAAAACAUUAAUUCAAGAACUUUGAGAACAGAGGGAGACUAAGCGAACCUGAAGUAGGAUUCGACUGAUCAAAAGGCAAGAAUUUGAUUCUUGAUUUUGAAUCUUGGCUCUGAAUACAAGUUAUUUUAUCACUUUUAGAAAAUGCCAAUGUUUUUAGACCUCAGUGUCGUCACCUAAUAAACAGAAGUAAUCUUAUAUGUAAUUAAUCAACUCAUAGGGAUAAUGAUUAGAAAAUAAAGAUUUGUACAUUCUCUGUUGAGUGGAAGUGGAAUUAUCAUAAAAGUGACAUAAUGCCUUGGUAUCAACAUAUUAACAAUACAUAUAUUAAUUAAUGUUACAUAUGGAUUAUAUAGUAUUCAAUAUACAUUUUGCUAAAUAAUUAUAAUUUAUGUAAUGGUUAUAACAAAAUAUACAUUUUAGCUAUAGGUGCUUGGACAUGAAAGUUUUGAUCUCAAAGAACAGAGCCAGUGUAAAAAAAGGCUAAUAGGAAAACAGAUAAAACUAGAAUGAGAAAGGUAACCACAAGGAUGUGUUUAACAGGAAACCCUGUCACAUGUUCUGGAUUUCUCACUGACCUAACUUUGUGUAAAAAAGCUAAUCUCUUCUUCCACAUUUCUGCAUUUUUAGUCAUUAUUAAUAUAUUAUUGCUUAUCUAGACCUAAUUUUCAUCAUUUGUAAAAUAUAGGCAAUUGGAUUAGUAUCUUAGAUCCUGUAUAUUUAUAAGAAACUCUAAUCUUACAAAAUGUUUGGGAAAUCAAAAGAUUCUUUGUUAAAUAGUUUGGGAAACACUUAUAAUACACACCUAUAUUGAAGCUAUAUAAUGUAUAUUUACAUUGACAUACUAAUAGAAGUGAGAAUAACUGAAGUAAGGAAACCUAUUUGUGUUUUCUUAACCUAGCUCUUAAUAAAGUGACACUUACCAAGCUUUUAACCCCACCCUAGCUUUUCCUCUUAGUAUUUUAGUGCAAAGUCAGCCAGCACCUGCCUUCCUUUGCCUGAUGGCUUUCUUUGGCCUUAUCUCCAGUGUUUUGCAUGCUAGUAAGUGGGCCAGAAAUGCAGAGGAAUUAACCCCAAAGCCCACCCCCAGCAUCCCUUUACAGGAGUUGCUGUGCUGAUAUAUUUGAGAUCCUUCAUGUACUGAAAGGCGUGCAUGACACUGGCUUCUAGAGAUUCCCCAAGAAAUAAGCUUCAAUUACCCUAACUGAAAUUUGGGGCCAUAAUGUAUUCUUUAGGUGGAUAUUCCUUCCUCAUCUGUUCUUUCUGAUUUUACCCCCCAAAUGAGUGAUUUCCACUCAAUGUUGGCUUAUGGUGGGGUGGGAGUAGCAUCAAAUUUAAGACACAUAUUUGGAAAGUAGUUGGAUACACUAUUUUAGUGUUCCACAUUCAAUGACCCAAAUAUAUUAAGAGAUUAUUUCUGACAGUUUCAGGGCACAAGUCUCCAGUACCUGUCUUCUAUGAGUCACUUCAUAAAUGCUUGCUGAAUAAAUUAAUUUCAGCAAGGGGCAAUCCCAAUAACUUUUCUUGACAAAGGAAAAAGCAUAAACUCAGAGGAGAGCAAUUUUAACUUUCCUAUCUCUUGAGAGACUUAAUGGACAUAUAGGCUGUGUCCUGUUUGUUCCUGUCUCUUUGAUUGGCCAAUAUUGCUUUGCCUCUUAGUAUCUACCAUCUCAGUUGCCUCCAGGGAUGCAGUGUCUCAAUGCUCUUUCUUCCCUCUCCACAUUUUCAGUUUGAAGAAUACAUAAGAAGCUUUCAGUUUCUCUGUGUCUUUGCAAUUCAUUUUUAAAAAUUGGAGGUAAAGGCUCUCAUUAAAUCCAAUUGAGAGCCUAUCCUUUGCACCAUGAUGUGUAUACACACACACACACACACACACACACUUUCAUUAAAUCUUCAAAGAAGUAAUGUUGUUAGUUCAUUUGGAAAUAUUUUGGCAGAUUUAAAAAAAAAUGGACUCAGAGCUUUUAACUAAUUCUUCCCAAACUCAUACAACUAUUUAGUGGCAGAGACAGAUUUCCAAAUGGACAUAAAGGACCCCAAAGUUCAUCUCUUACUCUCAAUACUAUUUGCCUCCUAUAGGUUAUUUAGCUCUUUUAUUAUUGUUUUUAAGUAGCAUUUAUUAGUGUAAAUUUAAUAUAAAAAUUUGUAAGAGCAAAAAUGACUCACAUUUAUAUUGUCCCAUAUAGCUU